AACGAACGCUGGCGGCAUGCCUAACACAUGCAAGUCGAACGAGACCUUCGGGUCUAGUGGCGCACGGGUGCGUAACGCGUGGGAACCUGCCCUUAGGUUCGGAAUAACUCCCCGAAAGGGGUGCUAAUACCGGAUAAUGUCUUCGGACCAAAGAUUUAUCGCCUUUGGAUGGGCCCGCGUUGGAUUAGCUAGUUGGUAGGGUAAAAGCCUACCAAGGCGACGAUCCAUAGCUGGUCUGAGAGGAUGAUCAGCCACACUGGGACUGAGACACGGCCCAGACUCCUACGGGAGGCAGCAGUGGGGAAUAUUGGACAAUGGGCGAAAGCCUGAUCCAGCAAUGCCGCGUGAGUGAUGAAGGCCUUAGGGUUGUAAAGCUCUUUUACCCGGGAUGAUAAUGACAGUACCGGGAGAAAUAAGCUCCGGCUAACUCCGUG
Molecule: ribosomal RNA, 434 nt
Filed under: uncultured bacterium
Lineage: Bacteria
Description: partial 16S ribosomal RNA
Rfam family: Bacterial small subunit ribosomal RNA
Source: RNAcentral